AGCGUUGGCUGGUCGAGCAACCGCAGUAGCCGCUCUCCUAUUCUAGGGGGCUGCGGAGUCCUAGAGGAGGUGAGCGGGCGGGUGAGUGGGUCUAGGUGAAGGGGGAGGAGGGGAACAGACGGAGAGGGAAAGGGAGUGCGCGAGCGAGGAGUGCUCGCGGUGGCCGCGGCACAACGUAGCGGUGGCGCCGGUGGCGGUGGCGGAGCGGAGUGACAGCACAGGGAGCGGAGGCGGCAACAGCAGGUGAAGCAGAGGCAGGUGUUUGCGCUCGACCCUCGGCGACGUCUCCCGCUUAGCUGGGCGGGGGAAACGAAGCUAGCUGCCGCGAAGACGCUGUUUGCAUCGGCAAGACGACGAUGAUUCGGGAGUAGCUCGGAAAUAACUCGAGGAGCUCGAAGCUCCGUUCGGUUGACUCCCUCAGGACCUAAUACCCCAGGAGCCCACAAGCCCGACACAUUAUACCCGACCUGACUACCCGGUACUUCUAUGUUCUAACUUCCGUAAGAGGGCACAGGCCUACCCUGAGAGGAAACGCACCUACCGUUCAAACUACGAGCCUACUCAUCAAAGGAAAGAGACAUUUGGCCGAGACAUGGUAGGAUCCGGGGAGGCCACAGAUAUAUUUGGCCUCCCAAAUCAGGCAUCUCCGAUAGUGUUUAGUGUAUCCCAUCUGUAGAUCCCAAAUCGGUAAUCCUAGAGCUCCAUCUAGAUCAGAACAUUGGGGAUAUGAGUAGUUCCAGUUAGUUCGUCCUUCAUCCCAAAAUGGAGGAAGUUCUCCCGGGCUUGGAUCCAUUUGUAGCACAGGGAACAGAGGACAAUGGAAGUUAGGAGUCUGCGUGUCAAGUCCUGGGGGAUGGACUCUAAACGGCCAAAACUGUGGCUGUAACCACGAAAGUAACUCUCAAGGAGAUAUAACAGCCGCUAUCCUAGCUACCUAGUAGAACAGUAGUUACUGCUAUAACGACGACCUCUCCGGAAUGGGAGUCCCGUCCAGGAGGUCGAGCCGCCAAAAUGGUAUCCGUGAGCGGGCUGGUAAUUCGGUCGCCGCCGUGGGUGUUAGCGACUUGUAGAACAGACAUAGUUAGAGCUUGUCAGGUUUUUCUACCCAGGCCGUCUAGGGCGAAGGAACUUGCUCGACGAUCUAACGUAGCGGCGGGAUCCCCAGUGUUGUUUGAUACUAGCCUAGCCCGAAUUUGGACUAGUCUCCCUUUAGUUCAGGGGUGUCUAGGGGGUAGUCCAUCACUAAAAACUCCUUGUUCGACUCUUGUAACGUAUAGCGGGAUUCAAUUCGUGGUCUAUACAAACCUAGAGACUCGGCCAAAGGGUUGGAGUCGCCCUCUGUUGUACAGACAGUUUGUGUCCUAGUUCGUAACUCGGGCUUUCGGGAAUC
RNAcentral lists this ribosomal RNA (1390 nucleotides) under Triticum aestivum (bread wheat). RNAcentral's name for it is "partial small subunit ribosomal RNA". Lineage: Eukaryota; Viridiplantae; Streptophyta; Magnoliopsida; Poales; Poaceae. The record is from RNAcentral.